RNAcentral lists this ribosomal RNA (507 nucleotides) under uncultured Glomus. RNAcentral's name for it is "SSU rRNA". It matches the Rfam family "Eukaryotic small subunit ribosomal RNA", at positions 569 to 1078 of the family's 1831-position model. The record is from RNAcentral. Lineage: Eukaryota; Fungi; Glomeromycota; Glomeromycetes; Glomerales; Glomeraceae.
AGCAGCCGCGGUAAUUCCAGCUCCAAUAGCGUAUAUUAAAGUUGUUGCAGUUAAAAAGCUCGUAGUUGAAUUUCGGGAUCAAUAUAUCGGUCGUGCCUUGGUACGUACUGGUAUCAUUGGUUUCUCCUUUCUGACGAACCAUGAUGUCAUUAAUUUGGUGUUAUGGGAAGUUAGGACUGUUACUUUGAAAAAAUUAGAGUGUUUAAAGCAGGCUUUAGCUUGAAUACAUUAGCAUGGAAUAAUGAAAUAGGACGUUCGAACCUAUUUUGUUGGUUUCCAGGAUCAACGUAAUGAUUAAUAGGGAUAGUUGGGGGCAUUAGUAUUCAAUUGUCAGAGGUGAAAUUCUUGGAUUUAUUGAAGACUAACUACUGCGAAAGCAUUUGCCAAGGAUGUUUUCAUUAAUCAAGAACGAAAGUUAGGGGAUCGAAGACGAUCAGAUACCGUCGUAGUCUUAACCAUAAACUAUGCCGACUAGGGAUCGGAUGAUGUUAAUUUUUUAAUGACUCA